RNAcentral lists this microRNA (22 nucleotides) under Pristionchus pacificus. RNAcentral's name for it is "ppc-miR-8235-5p". Lineage: Eukaryota; Metazoa; Nematoda; Chromadorea; Rhabditida; Neodiplogasteridae. The record is from miRBase by way of RNAcentral.
UAUCACAGUGCUCCAACGGCGA